GGCGGAUCCAGAAAUUUUCAUAAGUAUGGGCUCGCUCCGGUCAUGCUUCAGUGAUUCCCUAUAUAAGAAACCAAAUUUUUCGCAGACCCGUCGCCUUCCUUGCCCCCCCCCCCCCCUAAUUCCGCCUCUGCACCCAAUCUUAAAGUUAUAUUUGACAUAUAGGAACUGAAGUGACUUCUCUUUCCAGGAAUUUGAGUCUACAACCUUGGAUUUUUUAUUUUUUUAUUACUGAGCUAAACGCGUUGCAGGAGACAUAGAAAUACCGGGCGUCCGAUCGUCCGGUCUUGUUAGCACUCUUAUGUGUACAAUUCUUGUCAGAUUAAGUGAAACUCAUAUCAUAAGCAAUGUCUUUGACAAUUUGGAAAAUAAGUCGUGAUCAAAUAUUUUUAACCAGUUAUAACCAUUUGAAAUAUAAAUUGUAAUGGAAAUCCCAUUUCAUUUGCUGUGAAGCUUAUUGAAAAGAAAAAAAAAAAGUGCUUUUUUAGUUAUUCCCUAGCUUGUUCCUUGUCCUUUAAUAGAUAAAAUAUGACAUGAAAUGUGCUUGGCGGGGAAAAUUGGAUCUUUGUUCUUUACUGAUUGAAUUAAAAUUAGUAUUUGAACCUAGAUAGAAACGGGAAUUCAUUAGCCUAGGACUUAUCACGAUCUAUUACAAAUUGAUUUUUUCAUCACGUCGUUUACCAUGUCGCAAGAAACGUUACGAUAUCAGGAUAUGGUGUUUUAGUUGUUAGUUGCUAUGGUCAAAUGAGAAGUCAUCACUCCACUAGGUUCAAUUUCAGAUGAAACAUGUCCACGGGUCUGUGUAUCAGUCCUCUCCGCUUGCCUAAGCCGAUGACGUAGACUUUUUUUACGACCAAAAGUUAACUUGAAACACUAUUCUGCGAUUCAACUAUCUUGUUUACAUAAACGAAAUUAUCCUUAAUGAAAGAUCAGGCAUAGUGCUUCGAAAAUGACUGCUCAUAUCCUCAGCCUUGUUUUAUUUGGAUACUUCCGAGUUAAACUGCUGCUAUUUUUUUCUUUUGUCAAAAUGAUGUGGAUGCUUGAGCAUCUGAGCAUACAUGCAAGCUACGCCACUG
Molecule: long non-coding RNA, 1073 nt
Filed under: Mytilus galloprovincialis (Mediterranean mussel)
Lineage: Eukaryota; Metazoa; Mollusca; Bivalvia; Mytilida; Mytilidae
Source: RNAcentral